CUCAAAGACAUAAACGCA
This 18-nucleotide small nuclear RNA is filed under the name Arabidopsis thaliana (thale cress). Its description in RNAcentral is "snRNA_12952". Lineage: Eukaryota; Viridiplantae; Streptophyta; Magnoliopsida; Brassicales; Brassicaceae. The record is from RNAcentral.